ACUAACCCUAAUUCAACCCAUCAGACGUCUCUCAUCUCUCUCGGUACUCUCUCUCUCUCUCUUCUCGUUCUCAGACUGAGUUCUCUCUCUCUCUCUGUUCUUGUGAUUUCAUCUCAAAUCAGAUCAGGGAGCUCUCUCCCUCUCUCUAUUGGUGACAGCAUUUGUUGGUUUCCAUCUCAAAUUAAUCAGAUCACUAGCGGCUUGGUCUCUUGCUCUAUCUCUCUCGGCUGCUCUUGGUAAGGGUAAGAACUCGGAUAGGAAUGAAACGUCAGAUGAAGAUACAAGUCAGGGAUUGGAAUCUAUUAAGCUAGUGGUAUCUCAGUUGAAUGACCUUGCUAUCUCUACACAUUCUACUGUGGUUGCACCUCCUUCAAACUCAACACAAUGUUCAACUCCUUCAGAUCCUGUUCUAGAUAUUGAUAAAAAAAAAAUUAGAGCACUAAAAAAGGUGCAUGUUUUAUAAUUGAAUCAUAUCUUUGUUGCCAUCUUUAUCUUUUUAUUUGUUGGCCACUGAUUGAUGUGUUGUAUAUCAUAUUCAUGGUCUUGGGAUAGAUAAUAUUGGCCCCGUUUGGUAUAGCUGUGAGUACCUUAUACUUGUGAA
Camellia sinensis is the source of this 601-nucleotide long non-coding RNA. RefSeq lists it as uncharacterized. The record is from RefSeq and is a predicted model, not a curated record. Lineage: Eukaryota; Viridiplantae; Streptophyta; Magnoliopsida; Ericales; Theaceae.